AUUACUACCUGGCAGGGGAGACACCACGAUCACGUAGGUGGUUUUCCCAGGGCGAGGCUCAGCCAUUGCACUCGGGCCGUGCUGACCCCUGUGAUUUCCCCAAAUGCGGGAGACUCGACUACAUGAUUUGUGGUAGUGGAGGGCUGCGUUCCCGCUCUCUCUGG
Small nuclear RNA from Tachyglossus aculeatus (Australian echidna), 164 nucleotides. RefSeq annotates it as U1 spliceosomal RNA. NCBI's taxonomy places the organism in Eukaryota, Metazoa, Chordata, Mammalia, Monotremata, Tachyglossidae. The transcript has a single exon. The record is from RefSeq and is a predicted model, not a curated record.